CCUACGGGAGGCAGCAGUGAGGAAUAUUGGUCAAUGGUCGGGAGACUGAACCAGCCAAGCCGCGUGAGGGAGGAAGGUACAGAGUAUCGUAAACCUCUUUUGUCAGGGAACAAAGACUGGGACGCGUCCCCGGAUGAGUGUACCUGAAGAAAAAGCAUCGGCUAACUCCGUGCCAGCAGCCGCGGUACUACGGGGGCUGCGAGCGUUAUCCGGAUUUAUUGGGUUUAAAGGGUGCGCAGGCGGUCUUUUAAGUCAGCGGGCAAAGCCCGGGGCUCAACCCCGGCCCGCCGUUGAAACUGGCAGUCUCGAGUUGGAGAGAAGUAUGCGGAAUGCGCGGUGUAGCGGUGAAAUGCAUAGAUAUCGCGCAGAACUCCGAUUGCGAAGGCAGCAUGCCGGCUCCACACUGACGCUGAGGCACGAAAGCGUGGGUAUCGAACAGGAUUAGAUACCCCAGUAGUC
Molecule: ribosomal RNA, 459 nt
Filed under: uncultured bacterium
Lineage: Bacteria
Description: partial 16S ribosomal RNA
Rfam family: Bacterial small subunit ribosomal RNA
Source: RNAcentral